RNAcentral lists this ribosomal RNA (506 nucleotides) under uncultured bacterium. RNAcentral's name for it is "partial 16S ribosomal RNA". It matches the Rfam family "Bacterial small subunit ribosomal RNA", at positions 28 to 523 of the family's 1533-position model. The record is from RNAcentral.
GAUGAACGCUAGCUACAGGCUUAACACAUGCAAGUCGAGGGGUAACGAGAGGAAAGCUUGCUUUCCUUGUCGACGACCGGCGCACGGGUGAGUAACGCGUAUCCAACCUGCCCCCAACUAGGGAAUAACCUUGCGAAAGUAAGACUAAUACCCUAUAAUUUCCUCCGAUGUCAUCUGACGAGGAAUAAAGAUUGAUCGGUUGUGGAUGGGGAUGCGUCUGAUUAGCUUGUUGGCGGGGUAACGGCCCACCAAGGCAACGAUCAGUAGGGGUUCUGAGAGGAAGGUCCCCCACAUUGGAACUGGGACACGGUCCAAACUCCUACGGGAGGCAGCAGUGAGGAAUAUUGGUCAAUGGGCGGAAGCCUGAACCAGCCAAGUAGCGUGCAGGAUGACGGCCCUAUGGGUUGUAAACUGCUUUUAUACAGGAAUAAAGUUAGCCACGUGUGGUUAUUUGUAGGUACUGUAUGAAUAAGGACCGGCUAAUUCCGUGCCAGCAGCCGCCGUAA